CCUCGGGCGAGCAGCUGGGGGGUCCUUCUGCGGCGGCGUGGUUGACCCGCCUGGUUAUCCACGCUUAGGGCCCCACCGCGGCAGUCAACUCGACCGGUCGGCUGCUCGCCCGUGCACCGCUACGGGUGUCUACUGGGCGCCUGCCCAGAGAGCCCGUGCCUCCGUCGCUGCUCGCCGGCUGUUACCCGUGGCUGUGGCGGCGGCGGAGGCGUCCCGCAACGAGCUUGCAUUGCUCGCCCACACGAGCGGGCUGCUCCUGAGCCAGAGCUCGGAGGGCCCGUUCCUCCGUCGCUGCCCGCCGGCUUUUACCCGUGGCAGUGGCGGCGACGGAAGGGCUCCCCCACCCGCCGCACGCCCGCGGCGGGUUCCCCUCUGCGACGGGCCGUCCACGGACAAAGGCCCGUUCCCCCUUUUUAGGGGGUAAAUCGAGAAACGAACGAACGAACGAAUUACCCGCCGAGUGGAACGCCAGCACUCCUCGGGCGAGCAGCUGGGGGGUCCUUCUGCGGCGGCGUGGUUGACCCGCCUGGUUAUCCUCGCUUAGGGCCCCACCGCGGCAGUCAAGUCGACCGGUCGGCUGCUCGCCCGUGCACCGCUACGGGUGUCUGCUGGGCGCCUGCUCAGAGAGCCCGUGCCUCCGUCGCUGCUCGCCGGCUGUUACCCGUGGCUGUGGCGGCGGCGGAGGCGUCCCGCAACGAGCUUGCAUUGCUCGCCCACACGAGCGGGCUGCUCCUGAGCCGGAGCUCGGAGGGCCCGUUCCUCCGUCGCUGCUCGCCGGCUUAUACCCGUGGCUGUGGCGGCGACGGAAGGGUUCCCCCACCCGCCGCACGCCCGCGGCGGGUUCCCCUCUGCGACGGGCCGUCCACGGACAAAGGCCCGUUCCCCCUUUUUAGAGGGUAAAUUUAAACAAAAAAAAAAAUUAAAUAAAAAAUUACCCGCCAGUGGAACGCCAGCACUCCUCGGGCGAGCAGCUGGGGGGUCCUUCUGCGGCGGCGUGGUUGACCCGCCUGGUUAUCCUCGCUUAGGGCCCCACCGCGGCAGUCAAGUCGACCGGUCGGCUGCUCGCCCGCGCACCGCUACGGGUGUCUACUGGGCGCCUGCCCAGAGAGCCCGUGCCUCCGUCGCUGCUCGCCGGCUGUUACCCGUGGCUGUGGCGGCGGCGGAGGCGUCCCGCAACGAGCUUGCAUUGCUCGCCCACACGAGCGGGCUGCUCCUGAGCCGGAGCUCGGAGGGCCCGUUCCUCCGUCGCUGCUCGCCGGCUUAUACCCGUGGCUGUGGCGGCGACGGAAGGGUUCCCCCACCCGCCGCACGCCCGCGGCGGGUUCCCCUCUGCGACGGGCCGUCCACGGACAAAGGCCCGUUCCCCCUUUUUAGAGGGUAAAUUAAAAAAAAAAAAAAAAAAAAAAAAUUACCCGCCAGUGGAACGCCAGCACUCCUCGGGCGAGCAGCUGGGGGGUCCUUCUGCGGCGGCGUGGUUGACCCGCCUGGUUAUCCUCGCUUAGGGCCCCACCGCGGCAGUCAAGUCGACCGGUCGGCUGCUCGCCCGUGCACCGCUACGGGUGUCUGCUGGGCGCCUGCCCAGAGAGCCCGUGCCUCCGUCGCUGCUCGCCGGCUGUUACCCGUGGCUGUGGCGGCGGCGGAGGCGUCCCGCAACGAGCUUGCAUUGCUCGCCCACACGAGCGGGUUGCUCCUGAGCCGGAGCUCGGAGGGCCCGUUCCUCCGUCGCUGCUCGCCGGCUUCUACCCGUGGCUGUGGCGGCGACGGAAGGGUUCCCCCACCCGCCGCACGCCCGCGGCGGGUUCCCUUCUGCGACGGGCCGUCCACGGACAAAGGCCCGUUCCCCCUUUUUAGGGGGUAAAUCUGGAGAAGAAGAAGAAGAAGAAUUACCCGCCAGUGGAACGCCAGCACUCCUCGGGCGAGCAGCUGGGGGGUCCUUCUGCGGCGGCGUGGUUGACCCGCCUGGUUAUCCUCGCUUAGGGCCCCACCGCGGCAGUCAAGUCGACCGGUCGGCUGCUCGCCCGUGCACCGCUACGGGUGUCUACUGGGCGCCUGCCCAGAGAGCCCGUGCCUCCGUCGCUGCUUGCCGGCUGUUACCCGUGGCUGUGGCGGCGGCGGAGGCGUCCCGCAACGAGCUUGCAUUGCUCGCCCACACGAGCGGGCUGCUCCUGAGCGGGUGCUCGGAGGGCCCGUUCCUCCGUCGCUGCUCGCCGGCUUCUACCCGUGGCUGUGGCGGCGACGGAGGGGUCCCCACACCCGCCGCACGCCAGCGGCGGGUUCCCCUCUGCGACGGGCCGUCCACGGACAAAGGCCCGUUCCCCCUUUUUAGGGGUAAAAAAAAAAAAAAGAAA
Eriocheir sinensis (Chinese mitten crab) is the source of this 2348-nucleotide long non-coding RNA. RefSeq lists it as uncharacterized. The record is from RefSeq and is a predicted model, not a curated record. The transcript is spliced from 2 exons. NCBI's taxonomy places the organism in Eukaryota, Metazoa, Arthropoda, Malacostraca, Decapoda, Varunidae.